Molecule: ribosomal RNA, 231 nt
Filed under: uncultured bacterium
Lineage: Bacteria
Description: partial 16S ribosomal RNA
Rfam family: Bacterial small subunit ribosomal RNA
Source: RNAcentral
AUUGAACGCUGGCGGCAUGCCUUACACAUGCAAGUCGAACGGCAGCACGGGAGCAAUCCUGGUGGCGAGUGGCGAACGGGUGAGUAAUACAUCGGAACGUGCCCAGUAGUGGGGGAUAACCGGCGAAAGCCGGACUAAUACCGCAUACGACCUACGGGUGAAAGCAGGGGAGUCGCAAGACCUUGCGCUAUUGGAGCGGCCGAUGUCAGAUUAGCUUGUUGGGGGGUAAAA